Canis lupus familiaris (dog) is the source of this 486-nucleotide long non-coding RNA. RefSeq lists it as uncharacterized. The transcript has 3 exons. The record is from RefSeq and is a predicted model, not a curated record. Lineage: Eukaryota; Metazoa; Chordata; Mammalia; Carnivora; Canidae.
GGCAGCCGAGGCACAGAGACAUGAAAAAACAGCAGUGUAGAUGAAAGAUGAUCUGAUACAACAGCUCUGACCCAGGAUAUUUCAAAUGCAUUUAUGUUCUCUAAUUGAUGAUCCCAACUCAUCACAAGGUAUUACGGUAAUCUCUAAAUUAGUUGAAGAUAAUUCCACAGUGAUGCAAGAGUGGGAUGAAAACUAAAAAGGAUGGUCUAGACAUACAGCUGAACGUAGUAAAGGCAGGCCUUUUCACUCUAUAAGCUGGUGACUGUUGGCAAUGGAUUCAAUCAGACCUGAAGGAGAACUUUACAUUUUAGCAAAACCAAUGGAAAUAAUGUGCCAAGGAUGGUAAGGAUUUUCCAACCACGGAGACAUCAUUUAGGUUGCAUAUGCGUGGAUGUGUCAAGAAAGAAAUUAGAGAUUUAACUGAAAGCUUUAGAAAAACUUUAACAAAAAAAAAAAAAAAAAAAAAGAAAGAAAGAAAAAGAAAAA